Molecule: ribosomal RNA, 475 nt
Filed under: uncultured bacterium
Lineage: Bacteria
Description: bacterial SSU rRNA
Rfam family: Bacterial small subunit ribosomal RNA
Source: RNAcentral
AACGAACGCUGGCGGCAUGCCUAACACAUGCAAGUCGAACGAGACCUUCGGGUCUAGUGGCGCACGGGUGCGUAACGCGUGGGAAUCUGCCCUUGGGUUCGGAAUAACAGUUAGAAAUGACUGCUAAUACCGAAUGAUGUCUUCGGACCAAAGAUUUAUCGCCCAAGGAUGAGCCCGCGUCGGAUUAGCUAGUUGGUGAGGUAAAGGCUCACCAAGGCGACGAUCCGUAGCUGGUCUGAGAGGAUGAUCAGCCACACUGGGACUGAGACACGGCCCAGACUCCUACGGGAGGCAGCAGUGGGGAAUAUUGGACAAUGGGCGAAAGCCUGAUCCAGCAAUGCCGCGUGAGUGAUGAAGGCCUUAGGGUUGUAAAGCUCUUUUGUCAGGGAAGAAACGGUGAGUUCUAAUACAGCUUGCUAAUGACGGUACCUGAAGAAUAAGCACCGGCUAACUACGUGCCAGCAGCCGCGGUAAU